GAUGAACGCUGGCGGCGUGCCUAAUACAUGCAAGUCGAGCGAACAGACGAGGAGCUUACUCCUUUGACGUUAGCGGCGGACGGGUGAGUAACACGUGGAUAACCUACCUAUAAGACUGGGAUAAUUUCGGGAAACCGGAGCUAAUACCGGAUAACAUGUUGAACCGCAUGGUUCAACAGUGAAAUACGGUCUUGCUGUCUCUUAUAGAUGGAUCCGCGUCGCAUUAGCUAGUUGGUAAGGUAACGGCUUACCAAGGCAACGAUGCGUAGACGACCUGAGAGGGUGGUCGGCCGCCCGAGAACUGGGACACGGUCCAGGCUACUACGGGAGGCAGCAGUAGGGAAUCUUCCGCAAUGGGCGAAAGCCUGACGGAGCAAGGCCACGUGAGUGAAGAAGGUCUUCGGAUCGUAAAACUCUGUUAUUAGGGAAAAACAAAUGUGUAAGUAACUAUGCACGUCUUGACGGUACCUAAUCAGAAAGCAACGGCUAACUACGUG
This 497-nucleotide ribosomal RNA is filed under the name uncultured bacterium. RNAcentral describes it as "partial 16S ribosomal RNA". It matches the Rfam family "Bacterial small subunit ribosomal RNA", at positions 28 to 507 of the family's 1533-position model. The record is from RNAcentral.